This 330-nucleotide long non-coding RNA is filed under the name Lactuca sativa (garden lettuce). Its description in RNAcentral is "long non-coding RNA (LSAT_LNC006062)". The record is from RNAcentral. Lineage: Eukaryota; Viridiplantae; Streptophyta; Magnoliopsida; Asterales; Asteraceae.
UUAUCUCCAAUGGCGUCCUUCGCCGCCGGCGCGGGGCAAUUUCUCAGCCUCCAUCAAACUCGCACCCGUCCAAAACUACACUGUACUCCGUCCUCUGCCUCUAUUACCACCAACACUAUCAGAUGCCAACAGAUUUCGUCUCAAAACCCUAACAAACCCUUAAAAACCCGGCCCUCAAAAACCCCCGUGCUUUCUGUUAAGAAUCUAGCCAUCUCCGCCGCGGCUGGUGUUUUAUUUCACGUAGCGUUCAAGAGUUCUUCCCUCUUCGGUUUCGGCGGUGGAGGAGGUGGCGGUGGAGCCAGUGGAGGCGGCGGAGGUGGUGGAGGUGGA